Long non-coding RNA from Hordeum vulgare subsp. vulgare (domesticated barley), 323 nucleotides. RefSeq lists it as uncharacterized. The transcript has 2 exons. The record is from RefSeq and is a predicted model, not a curated record. NCBI's taxonomy places the organism in Eukaryota, Viridiplantae, Streptophyta, Magnoliopsida, Poales, Poaceae.
UGUUUCAGACACUGAGAUAGAAGCGAGAAGAAUAAGUUUGUGUAUAAUCUCAUGGAGGGGAAAACUAUUCUUCUUUGCUUUAUGGUGAUUGUGCUAAUGGAAAAUUUCAGUCUAACUGAGAGUUGCAAAGGAUACAUGGGUUUUAUUGCCCCUGUAUGUGGAGAACCAAAAUGUCGGGAGGCCUGUUGGUUGGAAUGGGGAGACCGUGUCAAGAAAGCUUAUUGUAUGAAUGCCAAGGAGUGUUACUGUCUAGUCUGUGAUUAGAGUUGCAAUUUUCCAUCAUGUAUGUAAAACAAUGGAACAUGAUGUGAUCUUUUAAUAAA